Molecule: long non-coding RNA, 468 nt
Organism: Nilaparvata lugens (brown planthopper)
Lineage: Eukaryota; Metazoa; Arthropoda; Insecta; Hemiptera; Delphacidae
Exons: 2
Source: RefSeq, a predicted model, not a curated record
UUUUAUUUUACCAUUAAUUUUGAAUGACCGGACAAAUAUAAUACCAGGAUAAAUACAGGAUGAAGGAGACUAAACAUUUUCCAUAAACUCAAGCAAAUUCAACCAAAUUUUGGAAUUCAAGUACAGUAUGAAAGUUAAAUUUCCAUUUACAAUUCGAAGUGGGGUUUUUUUUAUUUUACCAUUAAUUUUGAAUGACCGGACAAAUAUAAUACCAGGAUAAAUACAGGAUGAAGGAGACUAAACAUUUUCCAUAAACUCAAGCAAAUUCAACCAAAUUUUGGAAUUCAAGUACAGUAUGAAAGUUAAAUUUCCAUUUACAAUUCGAAGUGGGGUAAGCAGAACACUUGUUUUACAAUUCGGCUUCUAAUUCAACCAAGUCCAUCGAAUUUUAUGAGUUUCAAACUUCGAUAAUCGUCGCUUAUCUACGAUUCCACAUUACACUGAAGCUUCAGUUGUAGGCCUACCGGG